AUUCCAGCUCCAAUAGCGUAUAUUAAAGUUGUUGCAGUUAAAAAGCUCGUAGUUGAACUUCGGAACCGGUCGAUUGGUCCGUCCUCUGGAUUGUGUACUGAUCGAUCUGUUCUUCUUCGCGAAGACCGCGUGUGCCCUUAACUGGGUGUGCACGGGAUUCACGACGUUUACUUUGAAAAAAUUAGAGUGUUCAAAGCAGGCAUUCGCUUGAAUAUCUCAGCAUGGAAUAAUAGAAUAGGACUUUGGUCUUAUUUUGUUGGUUUCCGAGACCGAAGUAAUGGUUAAUAGGGACAGUUGGGGGCAUUCGUAUUUCAUUGUCAGAGGUGAAAUUCUUGGAUUUAUGAAAGACGAACUUCUGCGAAAGCAUUUGCCAAGGAUGUUUUCAUUA
RNAcentral lists this ribosomal RNA (388 nucleotides) under Ctenophora sp. (in: diatoms). Its description in RNAcentral is "Ctenophora sp. (in: Bacillariophyta) partial small subunit ribosomal RNA". It matches the Rfam family "Eukaryotic small subunit ribosomal RNA", at positions 582 to 975 of the family's 1831-position model. Lineage: Eukaryota; Bacillariophyta; Fragilariophyceae; Fragilariales; Fragilariaceae. The record is from RNAcentral.